GAUGAAGAACGUAGCGAAAUGCGAUAAGUAAUGUGAAUUGCAGAAUUCAGUGAAUCAUCGAAUCUUUGAACGCACAUUGCGCCCGUUAGCAUUCUAGCGGGCAUGCCUGUCCGAGCGUCAUUUCAACCCUCAGGGUCCCCGUUCCGGCGGGGAACCUGGUGUUGGGGAUCGGCCCGCCCCGUGCGGCGCCGUCCCCCAAAUUCAGUGGCGGUCUCGCUGCAGCCUCCCCUGCGUAGUAGUUACAACCUCGCAUCGGAGCUCAGCGCGGCCACGCCGUAAAACCCCCGACUUUCUGAACGUUGACCUCGGAUCAGGUAGGAAUACCCGCUGAACUUAAGCAUAUCAAUAAGCGAGGA
RNAcentral lists this unclassified non-coding RNA (356 nucleotides) under soil metagenome. RNAcentral describes it as "partial contains 5.8S ribosomal RNA, internal transcribed spacer 2, and large subunit ribosomal RNA". The stretch from base 1 to 120 matches the Rfam family "5.8S ribosomal RNA", at positions 35 to 154 of the family's 154-position model. The record is from RNAcentral.